Molecule: long non-coding RNA, 3056 nt
Filed under: Nicotiana benthamiana
Lineage: Eukaryota; Viridiplantae; Streptophyta; Magnoliopsida; Solanales; Solanaceae
Description: long non-coding RNA (NBEN_LNC010970)
Source: RNAcentral
AAAUACACAAAAAUACACAUAAACUUAAACUCAACCUAUAAAAUAAUGCUUAAAAAUCUGAAAAGGGGAGUAAAAAAAUCUGGAGCACAGCCUUUGCAAAAACAGGACCUCCCUCCCAAAUCGAUUGAUCUUCUUUUUCUUCAUAGAAGAGGAGCCAAAAUUCAUGGCUGCCAGCCUCGUCUUCCUCAACUGAAGACCAAACCACCCCUGAACCUCUACGACGUAUAAUACAGGCCCCCCACCGUUGAUAUCAUCUUCUUCGAGACGCCAUCGUUCUUCAUCUUCCUCAUCAGCAAAAAUACACAAAAAAUGAGAAAUUGAACCAAAUACCUAAGGUUGGGUUGUUUUUUUUAUUGAAAAGACCUACACAAAAAGGGGUGGAGCUCCUUCUUUGAUUUGGAGUUGCUGCUACUCCUUCUUCCUCGAUUAAACUCCAUUACCACCGGAAAUGGCCGGAAACUGGCGACGGAGUUUCGUUUCAUCAAUGGAGUUUGUUUAAAGCUCGUGGAGAGCUCGUUUUGGUAGUUUACUGAGUUUCAAGUUCGUCGUUCCAUUUAGUGCAAUAUUUUUGUUGAGAUCGAGUCCCGUCAAUGCCCGUUCCUAGGUCACUAGCUCUGUUCGUUGGGUCCGUUCAGCGUCGUCGAGGCAGUUGGAAUCGGGGUUCUGUUCUCUCUUUUGCCGAUCCUUAUGUUCUUGUUUCAAGUGUUCAUGCCACUGGAGCUUUGAUAAGAUUAAUACAACAUUUUCAUUCUUUCCUUAUAAUAUCAACUUGUGAAUUUGAUUAGAGUAUUAUUACUAGAUGGAUUUAUUUCUGAUAAGAUUUGGUGCCGAAUUGGUUCAACAAUUGCAACGUUCUUAUUUUCUUCAUUUUAGUUUUCAGCUGUAAUUGUAUUUUUACCAACAGGUUCUCACACAAAUCUCAAUGAUUCCAAAUGAAAGUUCAACCAAAAUCAAUGAGUUAACGUUAAGGUUUAUCACAAUGCUUAAUUACUCACUUAAUGAUAAUGGAUCCAACAGUUUUGCCACUAUGUACCGUGCAGGUAGUGGUGGUAAAUGGGUGUGUUGAAUCGGAUUUGAGCGAGUUAAAUAUAGAUAACACAUAUUAUAUAAGCAUAAUAUGUUUCAAGUGCAAUUUAUAAUUUUCCUUUUGCUCAUAUUAUUUAGUGACAUAAGCUUAACUGGAACAAUAUAUACUCUUCUUCGUUAAAUUUAUUCAAAUUUAACUAUCAAGUUGUAAACUUAAGCUACUGUUCCACAAAAUAUGGCACUUAUCAUUUUAGGAAGAAAAUGUGCUUAAUGCACAUCAAGCAAUAUCGCUAAUAAUAUAUGACUCGGUGCAUUUUUUACCUUGUUCAUAUGUUACUUACAAUCCAGUAUAAAACUAAACAAAUUUAAAGAAAAUACUAUAAAUAGAAAUAUACUCUUUAUACUUAAAAUACACUAAUAAUAUAUGACUCUAUACAAAUUUAACAUUAAAAUGUGUGUUCCAUAACUAAAAAAGAAAAUACUUUUAUUUGGUUGAAAAAGAAAGUACUCUUUCUACAAUAUAAAAAAAAAGUACUCACUUUGUUAAAAUGAAAGAAAAUAUUUUUUUACAUCAUAAAAAGAAAAUACUUAUUUUGUUGAAAUGAAAAAAAAAUAUUCUUAAUAAUAUUUCUAUUGAAUUGGGUGUGGUGGGUGAGGAUCUGGAUGAUAGGGGUAGGCGUGGGGUAGGGUGGAAGUUGGGGGAUAUAGGAGGCGGGUUGGUGGGGAUGAAAAAUAGGGUGGGAAAGAUUUACAAAGAGUUUUAAAAAAUAUUUUUCUUUAUCCUAAUAAGAAAAUAUUUACCAAAACAUGAUUUAAGCCAACCAUACAUGAAUUUUUAUUAUCAAAAUCAUAUAAUUAUAAUUGUUUCACAAAAAGAUCAUAAUACUUUUACUAACUCAUAAAAAUUACAGUGAUCGAAAAAUAUUCGCUAGUAUUUUCUUAUUUAUAGAUUUUUAUUUUCUUAUUUUUUGCCUAAUAAUAAUAAUCCAAUUAAAAUUGGAAUGAUUCAACCCGACCUAGCCCACCCUGAUCCAAUACUCAUAUAUAUAUAAAUUAAAAGUCCGAUCAUACCUAUUUAGUAAAAGUGAAUUCUUUCCUCAUAAAAAAUUCAAUUCGGAAUACAUGAGAUUCUUAUAAACAAAAAUAAAGAAUUAAAAGGUAUAAUUUGAGAGAAGUUGAAAUAAAAGUACUACAAAAUUUGAAUACAAAUCUCAAAAAUUAAAAUAAACAAUAAAAGUAUCAUAUUUUGAAGAAUUUAUUAUUCAUUUUAGUAUUAUUUUAAUUUAUAUAUAUGAGUAUUGAGUCGGGUGGGCCAGGUCGGGUUGAGUCAUUCCUAUUUUAAUUUAAUUAUUAUUAAUUAGAUUAAAAAUAAAAAAAUAAAAAUCUACAAAAUAAGAAAAUACUAUUGAAAAUUUAUAUUUUUCGAUCACUGUAAUUUUUGUGAGUUAGUAAAAGUUUUAUAAUUUUUGUGAGAGAAAAUAUAAUUUGGUAAUAAAAAAAGUUUAUAGUUAUAUGAUUUUUGUAUGAAAAGAUAAAUUUAUAUGACUUUAGUGAAAAAAUAGGUCAUAUUUAUAUAAUUUUUGUGUGAAAAAAUAAAGUUAUAUGACUUUAAAGAAAAAAAAUUCUUGUUAUAUGACUUUUUAAUGUGAAAAUAAAUUUAUAUAAUUUUAAUGAAAAAAUAUGAUAGUAAUAUAACCAUUUGUGAAAUUAACCCAAAUAGAUGCAUCGGAGGGGUAGAUAAUAUCCUCUGUAGUAAUUGAGUUUUGUUCUAUACUUUUACUAUUACAUUCUAAAAUGAUUUUAGGGAAUGAAGUUCCUAGAAACUUAAUUAGACAUAUAUAUAGUGAUGGUGAUGAGAAAUUGUUGGUGAAAUUACAAGAAAUUACAGUUGAAAAACAAAAUAAAAAAAUAACUAGAUAUUUCUUAGGCUGAGGCGCGAAUAUCUUACUUUCUUUAAGGAAAUUUAAGCUUAUUGCGAUAGCAUCUUCACCGGUCCAGCAAUAAUAUUCUUUAACUUUUUCCCUCCAGGA